This 73-nucleotide transfer RNA is filed under the name Ovis aries (sheep). It matches the Rfam family "tRNA". Rfam says of the family: Transfer RNA (tRNA) molecules are approximately 80 nucleotides in length. Their secondary structure includes four short double-helical elements and three loops (D, anti-codon, and T loops). Lineage: Eukaryota; Metazoa; Chordata; Mammalia; Artiodactyla; Bovidae. The record is from Rfam by way of RNAcentral.
UCCCUGGUGGUCCAGUGGUUAAGACUCCUUUCUUCCAAAGCAGGGGAUUCAGGUUUGAUCCCUGGUCGGGGAA